This is a long non-coding RNA of Saccostrea echinata, 368 nucleotides long. RefSeq lists it as uncharacterized. The record is from RefSeq and is a predicted model, not a curated record. Lineage: Eukaryota; Metazoa; Mollusca; Bivalvia; Ostreida; Ostreidae. The transcript has 3 exons.
GGUCUGAUUGACUGGGGUGUGAAAUGUAACAGCCAGUGGUGUACUUCAGCUAGGACUGUCAGUCCCUAUAUUCAUGAGGAAAAACACCUACAUAACCUUAUACAUGGGCGCAGACAUUUUGGACACCCAAAGUUGUGCGGAGAAGAAAAUGCUACACGGCACAUGAUUGGUCAUUAAGAGAAAAGACUUGUUAUGUAUUUGACAAGUGAAAUAAAGGUGAUAAAAAUCUCAUAUCAAGACUUAGGCUUCUUUGAGAUAUGUAGGAGUUACAGCUAUGCAUCAUCAAGAAGGAGAAGUUUAAUGAACCCUCCCCUCUUACAAUGAACAACAUAUGGACACUCCCAGGAUGAACACUUUGCAUUCAUUAA